UCGAGAAUAUUUCGCAAUGGGCGAAAGCCUGACGAAGCGACGCCGUGUGAAUGAAGAAGGCCUUCGGGUUGUAAAGUUCUGUCGCCUAAGAACAAGGACAUGAGAGUAAUAUAUUCAUGUUUUGAGUGUACUAGGAAAGGAAGCACCGGCUAACUCCGUGCCAGCAGCUGCGGUAAUACGGAGGGUGCAAGCGUUAGUCGGAAUUACUGGGCGUAAAGGGUGCGUAGGCGGACAAAUAAGUCAGACGUGAAAUUCCGGGGCUCAACCCCGGAGCUGCAUCUGAAACUAUGUGUCUAGAGGGAUGGCGGAGAAAACGGAAUUCCACGUGUAGCGGUGAAAUGCGUAGAUAUGUGGAAGAACACCUGUGGCGAAAGCGGUUUUCUAGCCUCCCCCUGACGCUGAGGCACGAAAGCAAGGGGAGCAAACAGGAUUAGAUACCCCCGUAGUCC
RNAcentral lists this ribosomal RNA (449 nucleotides) under uncultured bacterium. RNAcentral's name for it is "bacterial SSU rRNA". It matches the Rfam family "Bacterial small subunit ribosomal RNA", at positions 355 to 796 of the family's 1533-position model. The record is from RNAcentral.